CUGGAACACCUCCUUUCUGGAGAGACGAAUUUCCCGUGAAGAUAUAGGAACAAGACUUAAAAGUUCGCCUCUCUUCUUGUACGCACCAUCUGUUUAAUUAAAUACAGGAGACUGGGAUUCCUUAUACAUUAUAUAAUAUAUAGGGAUGGCUCAAGCAAAAUGGUUCAACUCCACAAUCUCCACUAUGCCUUUCAAGGCAAGAAGAUCUUUGACAUAUUGACACAAGCAAAACUGUAAGUAAUGAACUUUAGUUCAGACUAAAGUGAAUCAAACCGCAAGAUGAGAUUUCACAAGUUAGAAUACAGCUGAAAGUAUGAGCUACUUAUUCGUUAUUCGGAAACGAGUAACAAGAAUACAGUCGUAAAGAAAGUAAGAAAGGGCGCAUGGCGGAUGCCU
This 396-nucleotide unclassified non-coding RNA is filed under the name uncultured Prevotella sp. RNAcentral's name for it is "partial contains 16S ribosomal RNA, 16S-23S ribosomal RNA intergenic spacer, and 23S ribosomal RNA". Lineage: Bacteria; Pseudomonadati; Bacteroidota; Bacteroidia; Bacteroidales; Prevotellaceae. The record is from RNAcentral.